GCUCAUCUUUACAAAAGCUAUUGGAUUGAACAUGGUGCACACAAAUUCAUUGAAAUGGCAGAUGCAUCUGUUGCUAUCUCCUUCUUUGCAUUUGUAACCUUUGCCUUAGCUUCUCUUGUCUCUGGUUUCAUCCUAUUUAGGUUCACAAUCACAUAGUAAUAAUUACUCUAAAUAUAUGUCACAUAUAGAUAAUUGAGACAAUUAAAUUUCAAGUAUACAAUGGACAAAUGAUGAAGCUUUAUAUGUGUCAAGUAUACAAUGGACGAAUGAUGAAACUUUAUCAUUCCUGAAUUUUGCAGAUUUUCAUAUUUUAAGAAAUAAGGUUUGUUUCAGAGGAUCUUUUACUUUUCAAAAAUGAUAAAAUAUUACUCUAUCGGUACAUUUUAAGGGUUACUUUUGACCGUUCUACACAUGCCAAAACACAACUUUGAUCGUUAAUAUAUUUAAUUAACUAUUAUAAAUAGUUAUGAAAAUUUUAUAUCUUGAAAAUAUUCGUCGAGAAAAAUUGAACAAUAUAUUAUCUGCUAACCUUUAUUUUUAUAUAUUAAUAAAAAUUUAUGAUCAAAAUAUAUUAUGUUAAUAGAAUACAAUAGUCGAAAGUGACACUUAAAAAAGAGCGGAGGGAGUAUAACUUUUUUAUGCAGAAGCAUAAGUUUAAUUUAUAAAUUGAAAAUAUUAACAAACUUUUUCUCCAAAUGUAAUUGGAGAGCUAUGUUGAAAAUAUAUGCCGACCACAAAUUUGAUUUUCCUCAUCUCCCCUCAUUUCCCCUUUGUUUUAGGCGAUCGAGUUUUAUUGUGGAUCACAAUUAUAAGUGGUCUAUAGUAAACUAAUACUUAAAAAACAUUAUAAUUCUAACAACGAUUGAUAAUACUCGUAAGAAGUACGUAUUAGCGAUUAUGUAUUUUGAGGAAUAGCGACAUCAUUAGCUCUCAAUUCUACGGCAAUUUUGAUUGAUCGAGAAAGAAAUUCAAAAGGAACUUGAUUUUUCGUGCAAUAGUUAGAUAAUUGAGACAAUUAAAUUUCAUUAAAAUAGUUUCAUUAGCACCCAAGAUAUUAUAAUAUGUGAUUGUUAAUUAAAUGACGCGCAUUUGGUAGGAUGAAGGGGCGAGGAAGGACGGGAGAUCGAAUAUCUAACCAUUGUUAGGCUUGGCAGGAGGAAAUUGAUGUUGUCGUCUUCUAACUUCUAAGGAGUGGACCAAUUGAAGGGCGACAAUAAAUUCGAAUAGAUAUAGUUGGACAUAUGAGGAUUUACAGGACACAUUAGAGGAAUGUUGGACGGAUAGAAGGGGUGGUGCGAUGAGGAUUCAUGGAGCUUAAAGGGUUCAAGGGCAAGGCAAAGUCGGCAUAAGUGUUUGGACAGAUGAAAAUGGUCGAAAAUGUGUUUAUCUCUCUCAUAAAUUAACAAAUAAUAGAGGACAGUUGAGCCGAUGAAAACGGUUGAAAGUGACGCUGCUGGCUGGAGUGGCUGCUAUUAUGAAAAUAGUUGGUUAUGUACAUACUCCUAUAGAAAAAAAUUAAUAACGACAAAAAAAGUAUAUGAGUGUACAUAAUUUUUUCACGUAAUAAAAGAAAUGAAGAAUUCUUUGAUAUCCAUGAAAAAG
RNAcentral lists this long non-coding RNA (1602 nucleotides) under Trifolium pratense (red clover). RNAcentral describes it as "long non-coding RNA (TPRA_LNC000719)". Lineage: Eukaryota; Viridiplantae; Streptophyta; Magnoliopsida; Fabales; Fabaceae. The record is from RNAcentral.